RNAcentral lists this long non-coding RNA (1258 nucleotides) under Homo sapiens (human). RNAcentral's name for it is "HSALNT0128394". Lineage: Eukaryota; Metazoa; Chordata; Mammalia; Primates; Hominidae. The record is from RNAcentral.
CAAAGAUUAGAGUGACUGGUAUCUUGCUGUUUCUGUAAAGGAAAAUUACCAUGAUCCUAAGAAGCUGAGGUCAUCAAGCGGAGUAGGAGGUAGAUUUCCUAUCCAGGAGCAGUGAGCCAAAUUAAAUGCACAGAAAUUAGACCUUAACAAUGUCAAUAACCUCCAACAAGCAUAGACUCGCAGUUGAAAAGAACACACCUGGAUUUCAAAUGUUUCACAGAAAAACAGAGGUGAAGAAGGAGGUUGAAUCAACUAUAAUUUCUUCUACAACAGCAUCAUUACUUACUUUGAGUUUACCUUUCAAGUAGAUUGUCUCCAGAAGAAGGAAGUCCUAUCAAUUAAACAUGACUCUCAAGAGAAAAACACAAUGCGUAUAAGUGAUUUUAAACAGAAUAUAGCAUCAAGAAGUAGAAAUUGCCCAAGACCCUGUUUUAUCCUGCACUUUCCCAUUACUUUGGUAAUCAACAGUUGGUUGAGGCUGGGUGCCGUGGUUCACACCUAUAAUCCCAGAACUUUGGGAGGCUAAGGCAAGAGGAUCUCUUGAGCCUGGAAGUCCGAGACCGGGCUGGAUAACAAAACAAGACCCCAUCACUACAAAAAAAAAAAAAAAAAAAAAAGUCAGUUGAGGAUCAACAGCGGAGUCCAAGUAUGCAAUGGCUAUGUUAUUCCAUUUACUCCUCAGAAUAAUUAAUUGAAGUCGGAGUUAUAUUACUAAAUUUCAGAUAACAAAAUGGGGACUGUAGGUAAAUUUCCCAAGGUCACACAACUAGAUACGUAGUGAAACCAUGAUUCAAAUUGAUUCAAAAUGACUCUAAAUUCACUAUAAAAAGUCAUACAUGGGAAGGGGAAAGCAAAAAUAUCUAACAUUUCUCAUAGGCCUCCUUUUCCACAGCACUUCUGGACCCCUUAAAUGUCAUGUUUUCUACAUAAUGAUUUUUGCUUGCAAAAGUCACCAACUGCAUCUUUACUAAUAUGGCUCCAGCUCCCAGAUCUACAGCAGUGUCAGGCUCCCAAGUUAAUGGGUAUAAAAGGAAAAGGAACAAACCCAAAUUAGGAAUGUACCAGAACUGCUGCCCUCAGCUACCAUUCAGGUAUGUGGGGCCUUCCUUGGUUGUGUUAGAGCCUGAAUCAUAGUCCAUCAUUUAUUGUCAAAUCAUCUUAUGCCACCAUUCUACCAAGUAUUAUAGCCUUCUGGAUUUUCCUGUUAAUUUCCAUCAACUGUCCUGGGUCCUGUACUUCUAAUACAAUUCAAACACAU